Molecule: non-coding RNA, 164 nt
Filed under: Sharpea azabuensis
Lineage: Bacteria; Bacillati; Bacillota; Erysipelotrichia; Erysipelotrichales; Coprobacillaceae
Description: Lysine sequence
Rfam family: Lysine riboswitch aptamer
About the family: Riboswitches are metabolite binding domains within certain messenger RNAs that serve as precision sensors for their corresponding targets. Allosteric rearrangement of mRNA structure is mediated by ligand binding, and this results in modulation of gene expression.
Source: Rfam by way of RNAcentral
GAUGAAGAUAAAGGCUGCGGUGCAUCAGAGUAGUAUGGGGACAAGACAUUGGUUGAAGCAUAUGAAAGGUAAUCAUCGCCGAAAGAAUGUCAUGGUAGUGAUAUUCUUGGGGAUUAGUGAAAGACAUUAAUCACUCCUUCGUAAGAAGAGGCGUUAUCUGUAAA